Molecule: ribosomal RNA, 497 nt
Filed under: uncultured bacterium
Lineage: Bacteria
Description: partial 16S ribosomal RNA
Rfam family: Bacterial small subunit ribosomal RNA
Source: RNAcentral
GAUGAACGCUGGCGGCGUGCCUAAUACAUGCAAGUCGAGCGAACGGACUAGAAGCUUGCUUCUCUGAUGUUAGCGGCGGACGGGUGAGUAACACGUGGAUAACCUACCUAUAAGACUGGGAUAACUUCGGGAAACCGUAGCUAAUACCGGAUAAUAUUUUGAACCGCAUUGUUCAAAAGUGAAAGACGGUCUUGCUUUCACUUAUAGACGGAUCCUCUCUGCAUUAGCUAGUUGGUAAGGUAACGGCUUACCAAGGCAACGAUGCAUAGCCGACCUGAGAGGGUGAUCGGCCACACUGGAACUGAGACACGGUACAGACUCCUACGGGAGGCAGCAGUAGGGAAUCUUCCGCGAUGGGCGGAAGCCUGACGGAGCAACGCCGCGUGAGUGAUGAAGGUCUUCGGAUCGGAAAACUCUGUUAUUAGGGAAGAACAUAUGUGUAAGUAACUGUGCACAUCUUGACGGUACCUAAUCAGAAAGCCACGGCUAACUACGUG